Ribosomal RNA from Electrophorus electricus (electric eel), 151 nucleotides. It matches the Rfam family "5.8S ribosomal RNA". From Rfam's summary of the family: 5.8S ribosomal RNA (5.8S rRNA) is a component of the large subunit of the eukaryotic ribosome. It is transcribed by RNA polymerase I as part of the 45S precursor that also contains 18S and 28S rRNA. The record is from Ensembl. NCBI's taxonomy places the organism in Eukaryota, Metazoa, Chordata, Actinopteri, Gymnotiformes, Gymnotidae.
AACUCUUAGCGGUGGAUUACUUGGCUUGUGCGUCGAUGAAGAACGCAGCCAACUGUGAGAACUAAUGUGAAUUGCAGGACACAUUGAUCAACAUUUCGAACGCACAUUGCGGCCCCGGGUCCAUCCCGGGGCUACGCCUGUCUGAGGGUCA